GUGGGGAAUCUUGCGCAAUGGGCGAAAGCCUGACGCAGCAACGCCGCGUGCGGGAAGAAGGCCUUAGGGUUGUAAACCGCUUUCAGUAGGAACGAAAAUGACGGUACCUGCAGAAGAAGGUGCGGCCAACUACGUGCCAGCAGCCGCGGUGACACGUAGGCACCAAGCGUUGUCCGGAUUUAUUGGGCGUAAAGAGCUCGUAGGCGGUUGAGUAAGUCGGGUGUGAAAACUCUGGGCUUAACCCAGAGCCGCCACCCGAUACUGCUCUGACUUGAGUUCGGUAGGGGAGCAGGGAAUUCCUAGUGUAGCGGUGAAAUGCGCAGAUAUUAGGAGGAACACCGGUGGCGAAGGCGCUGCUCUGGGCCGAUACUGACGCUGAGGAGCGAAAGCGUGGGUAGCAAACAGGAUUAGAAACCCGGGUAGUCC
This 426-nucleotide ribosomal RNA is filed under the name uncultured bacterium. RNAcentral's name for it is "bacterial SSU rRNA". It matches the Rfam family "Bacterial small subunit ribosomal RNA", at positions 354 to 796 of the family's 1533-position model. The record is from RNAcentral.